Long non-coding RNA from Onychomys torridus (southern grasshopper mouse), 874 nucleotides. RefSeq lists it as uncharacterized. The transcript has 4 exons. The record is from RefSeq and is a predicted model, not a curated record. NCBI's taxonomy places the organism in Eukaryota, Metazoa, Chordata, Mammalia, Rodentia, Cricetidae.
CGGAUCUCCGCGUUCCAGAUCAGUCUGCUCUACAGAGUGACACCCGGCCUUAACACAAUCCAAAAGAACAGUCUUUGAGACUUCCAGGCAGGUCCAGACUUUAACUCCGGCUCCGCCACUUCCAGGAAGGGAGGCCUGGGGGCUUGCCACUAGCGGUCAAGCUUGUUAGUUUCAUCCCAGAAACCGGGUUCCGAGAGCGCCCCUCUCCUCACCGCGCGUAAGGGGUUUGGGAAGAAGAGUCCGCAGCCAGUGCUCCAGGGGAAGAAGCGGUCCGGGUUCCAGCGCGCCCUGGUCCCCACAGUAGACCGCUCGACCCCACCGCGUGAUGCCUUCCGCUUUCCGCGCGCGACGCCGCCAAAGCCCGCCCGCGUCUAGCUGCGCCACCCGCCUCGGCUCGGAGAAGCCAUGGCAACCGCAGGCGCCCUAGCACGUCAGAGCAUGCGCCUCGCAGGCCGCGGACUACAAGUCCCAGCAGGCCGCGCACCGCACGCCCCACCCCCUCCUCCGUCUCUGCUUUGCCUCCUUUUGUAGGCUUGGGGCUUGGAGCUGUAGCUCAUAAUGGCCUGCUGAGCUGAUGGUGCUGGGUAUGCUGUGUGAGAGGUGACUGACCGCAGAGUUCAGAAGGCAUCAAUUCCCUGGAGCUGCAGGCACAGAUCUCAGGAACCCCCAGAAGACCACCACCACGGAAGAACCACCGAAUCCCCUGUGUAAAAGCACAGAGCCUUUAUUCAAGCAAGUUGGAGCUUGGACCCUCCAGGUGUCCGACACAGUGGAAUGAUCACCGUCGAAGAGUACCAAGCCCAGACACUCACAGUAGAGGUUUCUUUGGGCAACAAUUGAAGUCAUGUCUUUUCUACAGCUUCCCCUCAUUCAC